This 61-nucleotide microRNA precursor is filed under the name Caenorhabditis briggsae. RNAcentral describes it as "Cbr-Mir-2-P11_pre stem-loop". It matches the Rfam family "mir-250 microRNA precursor family", at positions 11 to 73 of the family's 81-position model. Lineage: Eukaryota; Metazoa; Nematoda; Chromadorea; Rhabditida; Rhabditidae. The record is from RNAcentral.
CCUUCAGUUGCCUCGUGAUCCGCCGAAUCUGUAAUGGACGAAUCACAGUCAACUGUUGGCA